Molecule: long non-coding RNA, 561 nt
Filed under: Homo sapiens (human)
Lineage: Eukaryota; Metazoa; Chordata; Mammalia; Primates; Hominidae
Description: HSALNT0291441
Source: RNAcentral
GAGGAAGUUAAGGAUAUGAGGAAUUGCCGUCAGGAUCAGAGAUCAUCACUACGAAGAGCAAAACAGGCCACUUGCCCACCUUGACAGAGCUGGUAAGUGGCAGAGCCAGGACCAUCCAGACGGCUCAGCUUCCAAGCCAGCAAGCCUCAUCGCCAUGCAGUUUGUCCCCAGGGAGGAAGGAUGCUUCUGGUCCCAGGGUCCAGGAUGCUCUACCCUCCUUCCUCUAGGAUAUCCAGGGGGCCAGCUUUAGUGAGAGGAGAGUGCAUGGUCCAGCCUUCUGGGGGCACCCAGAGUGUCCCCUUCCACUCCCAGCUUCCCACUUCUGCUCCACUGUCUCCCUGCAGGAGGCUCUGGGAAGGCAGAGAUGGAGCUGUGGUCCCCACCGCCUUCUGUGGCAGCUCACUUUCAUUCAUUUUCUUUAAAUGCUUCUCACUCUCUGUUUUUAAAUCUAAUUUUUCAGCUUCUUUUUCAUCUUCAUUCAAGUUGCUUUAAUGAAACGAAAAUGUGUCUGUUUCCCUCUGCUGGAGCUGCCCGGGGAAUUUCAAUAUAAAACAAACAAGU